CCUACGGGCGGCAGCAGUGGGGAAUAUUGGGCAAUGGGCGCAAGCCUGACCCAGCAACGCCGCGUGAAGGAAGAAGGCUUUCGGGUUGUAAACUUCUUUUCUCAGGGACGAAGAAAGUGACGGUACCUGAGGAAUAAGCCACGGCUAACUACGUGCCAGCAGCCGCGGUAAGACGUAGGUGGCAAGCGUUAUCCGGAUGUACUGGGUGUAAAGGGCGUGUAGGCGGGACUGCAAGUCAGAUGUGAAAACCACGGGCUCAACCUGUGGCCUGCAUUUGAAACUGUAGUUCUUGAGUACUGGAGAGGCAGACGGAAUGCGCGGUGUAGCGGUGAAAUGCGUAGAUAUUAGGAGGAACACCAGUGGCGAAGGCGGUCUGCUGGACAGCAACUGACGCUGAGGCGCGAAAGCGUGGGGAGCAAACAGGAUUAGAUACCCGAGUAGUC
Molecule: ribosomal RNA, 443 nt
Filed under: uncultured bacterium
Lineage: Bacteria
Description: partial 16S ribosomal RNA
Rfam family: Bacterial small subunit ribosomal RNA
Source: RNAcentral